This 502-nucleotide ribosomal RNA is filed under the name uncultured bacterium. RNAcentral describes it as "partial 16S ribosomal RNA". It matches the Rfam family "Bacterial small subunit ribosomal RNA", at positions 28 to 507 of the family's 1533-position model. The record is from RNAcentral.
GACGAACGCUGGCGGCGUGCCUAAUACAUGCAAGUCGAACGAACCGCGACUAGGUGCUUGCACUUGGUCAAGGUGAGUGGCGAACGGGUGAGUAACACGUGGGUAACCUACCUCAUAGUGGGGGAUAACAGUCGGAAACGACUGCUAAUACCGCAUAGGACAUAGGAUCACAUGAUCCAGUGAGGAAAGGUGGCGCAAGCUAUCGCUAAGAGAUGGACCCGCGGUGCAUUAGCUAGUUGGUAGGGUAAAGGCCUACCAAGGCGAUGAUGCAUAGCCGACCUGAGAGGGUGAUCGGCCACAUUGGGACUGAGACACGGCCCAAACUCCUACGGGAGGCAGUAGUGGGGAAUCUUCCGCAAUGGACGCAAGUCUGACGGAGCAACGCCGCGUGAGUGAAGAAGGUCUUCGGAUCGUAAAGCUCUGUUGUUAGAGAAGAACAGCGCAUAGAGUAACUGUUAUGCGUGUGACGGUAUCUAACCAGAAAGCCACGGCUAACUACGUG